AGGAGGAGGGUGACUCAGAGUCCCUGACUUUCCACAGCCCAACCGCUGGGCCUGGGCGGUGCUGAGGAGGACGGGAACACGAGGUGCCCGGACGGUGCCCCCACCCGGGCUGCUGUGGCUGAACCAGUCACAGCUAAGCUAGAGUCCUCCUCCAAAUUCUUUCCCCCCUGGGGCUCCUGACAGUGGGGACUGGAGAGGCCCCCAGAGGAGGCUGUCCCCAGAGGCUGCAAGGACUGAGGCUGACUUGCUUCCUCCCCUGUGUCUGCGUCUCUGCCACCCCUGGAGUCAUCGCAGGUCAAGAGGGAGACCCUGGAGGAGAAGCAAAAGCCCUGCCUCCUGCUUUGGAAGGGUCCCACAGCUGGGGACUAGCAGUGACGCAGUGAGAAGAGCUGGCUCGACUGGGCCUAACUCCUCUCCUGUGUCACGUCUCACCUCUGCUGGAGACACAUGGACUCUCUGGGUUCUGCACUUGAGAUUUUGUGCAUUACAGAGCGGAGGACGAGCUCCCUGUUCUGCAAGGACACUCCGAGGGACGGAGGAGUCCAGAAGGAUUGGAAGGAUAACACAACCCGGGAUUAGAUGGAAGAAACUCUUGGCUCCGAUGGUCCUGUCCUGGGGAAGAUGGCCGGGCCCCAGGGAAGCCCAUGUUGUGGAGGGAGCAGGUUCCGGGGCUGAGCGCGACCUGAUCUUUCUGAGUCAGAUCUCCUCUCAAGCCAACCUCAGCCAGCUGUUGCCUAACGACACUUGCUGUGCGGACACCGGACACCCGACACGGACCCCACAUGAGCCUGCGGCAGGAGCUUCCAUUCUGCUGUGCAUCUUGUCCCCCUGAAGGUCUGGGGGCAGCAACUUGCAGGGAGCUGCCAUCUGUGACAGCGAUGCCCUCUCCUGAGGGAGACGCCUGCCCGACAGGUAGCACUGGGCAGAGCCCCCCUGAAGGGACCUCAGGAGGACCUCGUGCAGGCUGGGGACAUUCUGUCUUCUGAGUCGAGCUGCUCUGUCUAAGAAAAUUCUUCCUACGUUUUGCCAAAAGUCGCCUCCCUGCAACUCCUCCUUGUGGGUCCUGGUUCUGUCAGAAGCAAAUGUCAAACAACAGUCCUGAAGGAGAAGACCUGGGACAUCAAUAGUCCUGAUGGAACUGGGCUGGGUGAUGGCAUCUCCUGCAGCGGCCAUCCCCGUGGCUCUUAGCCCCAGAGCCAGGCCCGGACUGAAGUCAAGGAUCUUUCAGUGAAAUCUGAAAAACCAAAAAGUUCUCAGUUCUUGGAUGCUUCUGUUAGCAAAGCAUAAAACAGCUUCUUUCUCCACUCUUUCAGCCCAGAGCGUGCUGCCAGACUGGCAGGAGGCCAAGGGGAAAGGCACUCUCCUUGUGCAAAGAUGACAGUCACACGGCUCCGGAGCCAUGACCUCACCUCAGUUAAUACGUGCUGUCCAGCCUGUAAUCACUGAGCAUCCAGGGAGUGGGCCAGCGAGGUAGCCACCCGCGUCAGGCCUCCUGUUUACAGAGCCUUUCUGGCGUCAGGUGUAAAAUCAUGACCCGCGAGUCCCCUUCCUGCCUCGCCUGGCAGCCCUUUGGAAGCUGGCGUGUGCGCUGUGACACAGGAGGAAUGCACCUGUCUUUUUUUAGAUUGAUAGCUUGGCUCUCUGAUGACUCCUGUUAAAAACAACUUGUACACUUGAAGUUCACAGCAUCAGAGUGGGGAACCUGCAUCAGGUGCCUUCGGGCCGGGCAGGGGGAGUUUGGUCUCCGGAGUGUGGGCAAAAGAACGGUUGCAUUAUUUUUCUAAAUCAGAGGUCAUCUGGCAAUAUCAGUCACUAUUCGGUUACUUUGUCCAUCCAGCUGCUCAUCCAAGAGGAAGCAUACUUUGGGGCACUGUGGCCAGGCCUCUGCUGCCCUGGCUUCUGGGGCCGAGCACUGCUGUAGCUGAGGGUCCCAUGGAUCUCAGGCUCUUGCGAGUGCUCCAAGGACUUGGCCCCAGAAAUGCCCCUCCCUGGGUCAAGAACCCACAGGUGUCUGCAGCCUCUGUCCUUCCCCGCCCAGGUGCCGUGUGCAGCAAGGCCUCGCUCCAGUCCUGGUGUGCCCCCCACCCUUUUCCCCUCAGGCAUGCAGAAGCACUCUGCCAAGGCUGCCCCUGCCACUUUGCAUGAGCCUCCCUUCCUCCCUCCCUCACCAAGGGACAGUCCGAUGACAGCAGUCCUCCCUUCUUCAAGGGGGAUGUAUUUCAAGAGCCCAGACGAUGCCUGAACCCGGGAAUAGUACCAAACCUGGGACCUACUGUUUUUUCCCCAGACGCUUAGACCCACAAGAGUUUAGGGCCGUUUCCAUCCUGACCAAACCCUACCCCAUACGAUGGCUACAGCGUUCGCAGCGUGAGGUGGGACAGCGACGGGGCGUGGGUUUCUUCCCCUUCUUCACUGCAUCAUGGACAGACAGACGCUCCUUCUUACCCACAGAUCUUUGCAACUUCAGUUCAUGGUUUGUUUCCUUCUUAAGUCAAGAACUUUCCCUUUUCCUCUCACAGGAAGCGCUUCAUGGCCUAUCUGACUGCCAGCGUCCCUGCUCUUGUGCUCAGGGGCCAUGAUUAAGUAAAAUAAAGGCCGCCUGAACACAG
Long non-coding RNA from Marmota flaviventris (yellow-bellied marmot), 2609 nucleotides. RefSeq lists it as uncharacterized. The record is from RefSeq and is a predicted model, not a curated record. Lineage: Eukaryota; Metazoa; Chordata; Mammalia; Rodentia; Sciuridae.